GGUAAGGUGGCCGAGUGGUUAAGGCGUUUGACUUAAGUUCAAAUGACGAAUAGUCUCAUGGGUUCGAACCCCAUCCUUACCA
This is a non-coding RNA of Aspergillus novoparasiticus, 82 nucleotides long. Lineage: Eukaryota; Fungi; Ascomycota; Eurotiomycetes; Eurotiales; Aspergillaceae. The record is from the annotation of a GenBank genome assembly.